Molecule: ribosomal RNA, 778 nt
Filed under: uncultured bacterium
Lineage: Bacteria
Description: bacterial SSU rRNA
Rfam family: Bacterial small subunit ribosomal RNA
Source: RNAcentral
GUUGCGCUCACCGUAAAUGCAGUGAUACUGUAUGUCUGAGUGUACAGAGGUGGCGGAAUUCGUGUGUAGCGGUGAAAUGUUAGAUAUCACGAAGACCUCCGAUUGCGAAGCCAGCUCACUAGGGUACAACUGACACUGAGGCUCGAAAGUGUGGUAUCAAACAGGAUUAGAUACCUGGUAGUCCACACAGUAAACGAUGAAUACUCGCUGUUGCGAUAUACAGUAAGCGGCCAAGCGAAAGCAUUAAGUAUUCCACCUGGGGAGUACGCCGGCAACGGUGAAACUCAAAGGAAUUGACGGGGGCCCGCACAAGCGGAGGAACAUGUGGUUUAAUUCGAUGAUACGCGAGGAACCUUACCCAGGCUUAAAUUGCAGUGGAAUAUGGAUGAAAGUUCAUAGCCUUCGGGCCGCUGUGAAGGUGCUGCAUGGUUGUCGUCAGCUCGUGCCGUGAGGUGUCGGCUUAAGUGCCAUAACGAGCGCAACCCUUAUCUUUAGUUACUAACAGGUCAUGCUGAGGACUCUAAAGAGACUGCCGUCGUAAGAUGUGAGGAAGGUGGGGAUGACGUCAAAUCAGCACGGCCCUUACGUCUGGGGCUACACACGUGUUACAAUGGGGGGUACAGAAGGCAGCUACACAGCGAUGUGAUGCUAAUCCCAAAAGCCUCUCUCAGUUCGGAUCGAAGUCUGCAACCCGACUUCGUGAAGCUGGAUUCGCUAGUAAUCGCGCAUCAGCCACGGCGCGGUGAAUACGUUCCCGGGCCUUGUACACACCGCCCGU